Long non-coding RNA from Dermochelys coriacea (leatherback sea turtle), 285 nucleotides. RefSeq lists it as uncharacterized. The record is from RefSeq and is a predicted model, not a curated record. The transcript is spliced from 3 exons. Lineage: Eukaryota; Metazoa; Chordata; Testudines; Dermochelyidae.
UGAUGUCAGGGUGCCAAUGCCUGAGAUGAUGGGGAAUCCAGGAUUCCUAGGUUUAUGGAUCUUGGGUAGCAGAUAGAAUACCCCUGGUCAGGGCUCUAGGGGUGUGUCUAUGCUAGGCCUGUGCUUCUUCAGGGAUUUUCUUGAGCAGAUAGUGCAGUGUCUUUUGGUACUCCACCGUUGGAUCAGAGGGUAAUGGCCUGUAGAAUGUGGAGUUAGAGAGCUGCCUAGUAGCCUCUUGUUCAUACUCCGACCUAUUCAUGAUAACGACAGCACCUCCUUUGUCAG